AAAUCAGUGAAAAGCGAUCGAGAGCUCAAAAUUAUUCCUUGGAAGAUGUAUUAAAGCUUGUCGACAUCCUUCACGAUUUCAGAAGCAUAAUAGAGAACAAGUAAACGGAUGCAGUGUCAUGUAGUGAAAAGAACAAAGCAUGGGAGUAAGUAUGCGAUCUCUAUAAUUCACAAACAACAUCAAGCAGAACCAGUGAUGAGCAGCGACAGAAAUAUGACAGGCUAAAGAAAGAGACCAGAAAAUAUUAUGCUGCAUUAAGGCAGCAUAGGCACCAGACUGGCGGUGGGCCUUUUGUCCAACAUAAAUUUGUAAUUGUGUAUACAAAAAUACACAAUGUAAUUAAACUUCCUUCAGAUGGCCACACUAGUCAUUUUGAUUGUGACGCAACGUUUCUAGAGACUGCAACAACCAGCGACAACACAGGCGUCACGGAGUUUAAUUUGGCCGAUAAUUCUGAG
Molecule: long non-coding RNA, 458 nt
Organism: Schistocerca nitens (vagrant locust)
Lineage: Eukaryota; Metazoa; Arthropoda; Insecta; Orthoptera; Acrididae
Exons: 3
Source: RefSeq, a predicted model, not a curated record